GAGUGUCAAGGGAAGUGACACUGACACGCCGAACCAAGAAAAGACAAUAGUUUGAAAGCCAAAAUUUGCAUCCAAUCCUCGUUAUAAAGCAUUUAUUGAUUGGGGACAGCAUAAUAUAAGUCCCUGAGAUAUAAGUAAACAAUUAUUAGGAUUCCGGAACUUUUAGUUCUGGAGCCAAACAAACUCAAAAUUGAGAGUUUGAUCCUGGCUCAGGAUGAACGCUGGCGGUAUGCGUAACACAUGCAAGUCGAACGAAGUUUUUCGGAACUUAGUGGCGGACGGGUGAGUAACGCGUGAGAAUCUGCCUUAAGGAUUGGGACAACAGUGGGAAACCGCUGCUAAUACCAGAUAUGCCUAUAAGUGAAAGGAGUUUAUCUCCGCCUUAAGAUGAGCUCGCGUCUGAUUAGCUAGUUGGUGUGGUAAGAGCGCACCAAGGCAACGAUCAGUAGCUGGUCUGAGAGGACGACCAGCCACACUGGGACUGAGACACGGCCCAGACUCCUACGGGAGGCAGCAGUGAGGAAUUUUCCGCAAUGGGCGAAAGCCUGACGGAGCAAUACCGCGUGAGGGAGGAAGGUUCUUGGAUUGUAAACCUCUUUUCUCAGAGAAGAAUAAUGACGGUAUCUGAGGAAUAAGCAUCGGCUAACUCCGUGCCAGCAGCCGCGGUAAUACGGAGGAUGCAAGCGUUAUCCGGAAUGAUUGGGCGUAAAGGGUCUGUAGGUGGUUGUUCAAGUCUGCUGUUAAAGCGUCUGGCUUAACCAGAUAAAGGCGGUGGAAACUGAACGACUAGAGUGCGGUAGGGGUAGAGGGAAUUCCCAGUGUAGCGGUGAAAUGCGUAGAUCUUGGGAAGAACACCUGUGGCGAAAGCGCUCUACUGGACCGCAACUGACACUCAUGGACGAAAGCUAGGGGAGCGAAUGGGAUUAGAUACCCCAGUAGUCCUAGCCGUAAACGAUGGAUACUAGGCGUUGCCCGUAUCGACCCGGGCAGUGUCGUAGCUAACGCGUUAAGUAUCCCGCCUGGGGAGUACGCACGCAAGUGUGAAACUCAAAGGAAUUGACGGGGACCCGCACAAGCGGUGGAGUAUGUGGUUUAAUUCGAUGCAACGCGAAGAACCUUACCAGGGUUUGACAUGUCCGGAAUCUCUUGGAAACGAGAGAGUGCCUUCGGGAACCGGAACACAGGUGGUGCAUGGCUGUCGUCAGCUCGUGUCGUGAGAUGUUGGGUUAAGUCCCGCAACGAGCGCAACCCUCGUUUUUAGUUGCCAGCACGUAAUGGUGGGCACUCUAGAGAUACUGCCGGUGAUAAAUCGGAGGAAGGUGGGGAUGACGUCAAGUCUUCAUGCCCCUUACACCCUGGGCUACACACGUACUACAAUGCUGUGGACAAAGGGCAGCAAGCCAGCGAUGGCAAGCAAAUCCCAUAAACCACGGCUCAGUUCAGAUCGCAGGCUGCAACUCGCCUGCGUGAAGGUGGAAUCGCUAGUAAUUCCAGAUCAGCAUUGCUGGGGUGAAUUCGUUCCCGGGUCUUGUACACACCGCCCGUCACACCAUGGAAGUUGGUUUUGCCCGAAGUCGUUAUUCCAACCGUUCGCGGAGGGAAACGCCGAAGGCAGGGCUGAUGACUGGGGUGAAGUCGUAACAAGGUAGCCGUACCGGAAGGUGUGGCUGGAUCACCUCCUUAACAGGGAGACCUACUUCUCCAGAGACCGAACCCAUAAAUUUAUUAGGUUCAAGAGAAGUCAUCCCUAGGUCGUUCGAGAUUGGCUGUUGGCUUUCAAACUAUUAUUGAGUUCGGUACCUUCUCCAGAAACAGCUAAGUAUUGUUCGGUUUGUAACACUCAAACAACUUGAUAGCUUGUUAAACUAGGAAGGUAUGGGGAUGAAACAUUGCCAGAGGCAAUAAACCCAAAGCUUUAAACUCAAUUGGAUAAACUUUUUCAGCAAUCUUGUUCACCAAAGCAAGACUGCUGGGCGAGAGUCCAGACAGAACCUUGAAAAUUGCAUAGCAACUUGUCAAAUGCGAAGUUGAUUGCAUCAGUUAUUAGUACAAAAAACUGGUAGUUGAAUGCAUCAAAUGCAGGUAGACACCAAUGUUUAAAAGUGGUCAAGCUAAUUAGGGCUAAUGGUGGAUACCUAGGCACACAGAGGCGAAGAAGGACGUAGUUACCGACGAAACGCUCCGGGGAGCUGGAAGCAAGCGACUGAUCCGGAGAUAUCCGAAUGGGGCAACCCCAAGUACUGCCUGUUGAAUAUAUAGACAGGUCAGAGCCAACCCAGCGAACUGAAACAUCUUAGUAGCUGGAGGAAGAGAAAGAAAUUUCGAUUUCCCAAGUAGUGGUGAGCGAACGGGAAACAGCCUAAACCAACGAGUUUACUUGUUGGGGUCGUGGGACAGCAAUAUCGAAUCUAGCGGUUAGACGAAGCAGAUAAAUACUGCACCAAAGAAGGUGAGAGUCCUGUAGUCGAAAACUUAAGGAUAGUAGCUGAAUCCCGAGUAGCAUGGGACACGAGAAAUCCCAUGUGAAUCUGCGAGGACCAUCUCGUAAGGCUAAAUACUACUGUGUGACCGAUAGUGAACCAGUACCGCGAGGGAAAGGUGAAAAGAACCCCGAUAAGGGGAGUGAAAUAGAACAUGAAACCAUUAGCCUACAAGUAGUGGAAGGACGAUUUAACGUCUAACCGCGUGCCUGUUGAAGAAUGAGCCGGCGAGUUAUAAGCAGUGGUAGGUUAAGUCAGAGACGUAGCCAAAGCGAAAGCGAGUCUGAAAGGGGCGUUAAUCACUGUUUAUAGACCCGAACCCGGGUGAUCUAACCAUGUCCAGGAUGAAGCUUGGGUAACACCAAGUGGAGGUCCGAACCGACCGAUGUUGAAAAAUCGGCGGAUGAGGUGUGGUUAGGGGUGAAAUGCCAAUCGAACCCGGAGCUAGCUGGUUCUCCCCGAAAUGUGUUUAGGCGCAGCGGUAACGAAUAUAUCUGGGGGGUAAAGCACUGUUGAGGUGCGGGCUGGGAGACCGGUACCAAAUCUCGGCAAACUCAGAAUACCCAGAGCACACGUUGCCAGUGAGACGGUGGGGGAUAAGCUUCAUCGUCAAGAGGGAAACAGCCCAGACCACCAGCUAAGGUCCCCAAAUCAUCGCUAAGUGGUAAAGGAGGUGAGAGUGCACAGACAACCAGGAGGUUUGCCUAGAAGCAGCCACCCUUGAAAGAGUGCGUAAUAGCUCACUGGUCAAGCGCUCUUGCGCCGAAAAUGAACGGGACUAAGCGAUGUACCGAAGCUGUGGAUUUAGCAAAAUGCUAACUGGUAGGGGAGCGUUCCGUUGUAGGUAGAAGCAGUAGCGGCAAGCAGCUGUGGACGAAACGGAAGUGAGAAUGUCGGCUUGAGUAGCGAAAACAUUGGUGAGAAUCCAAUGCCCCGUAACCCCAAGGGUUCCAGAGCCAGGUUCGUCCGCUCUGGGUUAGUCGGGACCUAAGGCGAGGCCGAAAGGCGUAGUCGAUGGACACAGGGUCAACAAUCCCUGACUAUUGAGUGGGAGCAUAUUAAGGGACGCAUGACGAUAAGCCACACCCUAAUUGGAUUGGGAAGGGUCUACGGACUCUGCGUGGUGAACAAUAGUGCCAAGAAAAGCUUGAUAUGUGAUGAAAGCUCAAUACCCGUACCCUAAACCGACACAGGUGGGGAGGUUGAGAAUACCAAGGGGCGCGAGAUAACUCUCUCUAAGGAACUCGGCAAAAUUGCCCCGUAACUUCGGAAUAAGGGGUGCCCACGCAAGUGGGUUGCAGUGAAGAGGCCCAGGCGACUGUUUACCAAAAACACAGGUCUCCGCCAACUCGUAAGAGGACGUAUGGGGGCUGACGCCUGCCCAGUGCCGGAAGGUUAAAGAAGUUGGUCAGGGGGAAACCCUAAAGCUGACGACUGAAGCCCCGGUGAACGGCGGCCGUAACUAUAACGGUCCUAAGGUAGCGAAAUUCCUUGUCGGGUAAGUUCCGACCCGCACGAAAGGCGUAACGAUCUGGGCGCUGUCUCGGAGAGAGACUCGGCGAAAUAAGAAUGUCUGUGAAGAUACGGACUACCUGCACCUGGACAGAAAGACCCUAUGAAGCUUUACUGUAGCCUGUAAUUGGUUACUGGUUCUGACUACGCAGUAUAGGUGGGAGGCAUUGAAAGUUCCCUUGUGGGGGGACUGGAGCCGACAGUGAGAUACCACUUUGUCAGAACUGGGAGCCUAACCGGGAGCCGUUAUCCGGCACUGGGACAGUUUCAGGUGGGCAGUUUGACUGGGGCGGUCGCCUCCUAAAAGGUAACGGAGGCGCACAAAGGUUCCCUCAGCACGGUUGGAAAUCGUGCGUAGAGUGUAAAGGCAAUAAGGGAGCUUGACUGCAAGAGUCACAACUCGAGCAGGGUGGAAACACGGUCUUAGUGAUCCGACGGCACAGCGUGGAAUGGCCGUCGCUCAACGGAUAAAAGUUACUCUAGGGAUAACAGGCUGAUCUCCGCCAAGAGUUCACAUCGACGCGGAGGUUUGGCACCUCGAUGUCGGCUCAUCGCAACCUGGGGCGGAAGUACGUCCCAAGGGUUGGGCUGUUCGCCCAUUAAAGCGGUACGUGAGCUGGGUUCAGAACGUCGUGAGACAGUUCGGUCCAUAUCCGGUGCAGGCGCAAGAGCAUUGAGAGGAGUCCUCCUUAGUACGAGAGGACCGGGAGGAACGCACCGCUGGUGUACCAGUUAUCGUGCCAACGGUAAACGCUGGGUAGCCAAGUGCGGAGUGGAUAACCGCUGAAAGCAUCUAAGUGGGAAGCCCACCUUAAGAUGAGUGCUCUCAUGGCAUAAGCCAGUAAGGUCACAGGUAGAUUACCUGUUGAUAGGCGGUAGGUGGAAGUGCAGUAAUGUAUGCAGCCGAGCCGUGCUAACAGACCGAGGGCUUGACCUCAAUCAAUUGGUGUAAGACAAGUUGCUGUGCAACCUUCAGGGUUUCUGAAAAUUUCAUUUUGAAAUUUCAAAACUACUUUUAAUUUUUAACUAGUUUUUUCUGGUGCCAAUGGCGCGGUGGAACCACUCUGACCCCAUCUCGAACUCAGUUGUGAAACGCUGCUGCGGCGACGAUAGUUGGCGGGUAGCUGCCUGUAACAAUAGCGGGCGUGCCAGGA
RNAcentral lists this ribosomal RNA (5146 nucleotides) under Kalymmatonema hyalinum. The record is from RNAcentral. Lineage: Bacteria; Bacillati; Cyanobacteriota; Cyanophyceae; Nostocales; Scytonemataceae.